This 253-nucleotide ribosomal RNA is filed under the name uncultured bacterium. RNAcentral describes it as "partial 16S ribosomal RNA". It matches the Rfam family "Bacterial small subunit ribosomal RNA", at positions 524 to 776 of the family's 1533-position model. The record is from RNAcentral.
UACGAAGGGGGCUAGCGUUGCUCGGAAUCACUGGGCGUAAAGCGCACGUAGGCGGAUUGUUAAGUCAGGGGUGAAAUCCUGGAGCUCAACUCCAGAACUGCCUUUGAUACUGAAGAUCUUGAGUCCGGGAGAGGUGAGUGGAACUGCGAGUGUAGAGGUGAAAUUCGUAGAUAUUCGCAAGAACACCAGUGGCGAAGGCGGCUCACUGGCCCGGUACUGACGCUGAGGCACGAAAGCGUGGGGAGCAAACAGG